AAACCGAAAAGGGGUCUGUACAAGGCCCAUGGCCCAAACAACAAAGCCAAAACAAAGCAAAAAAUUGGAUGGGUCUAAAAGACCCGAUCCAACACCUAUCUAAUCCCUUACAGAGAGGGCAAAUAUCUAUUUUUGGAAAGUCUCCAGAAGACCAAUUUCCUACUUUGAUGCUUCCCUUCAGAAUCUUCCUCCAAUGUUCUCCAAGUUGAAGCUUGCUGUCUUUCCAUUCCUAUGGUGAAGGACCAAUUUGCUGAUAGGAUCUGCAACGGAUCCAGCUGUGAUUGAAGCCACUUAGCUGAGUUGACUCCUUCUCGCUCUACACAACCCUGUACCCCCCUUAUUUUUCGUGUAUACAUGCUCCUGAAAAUCUGUCUAACUUUAUGUAUCCAGCAAUGUCUUCUUGACAAGAUAAAUUAUCUGUUAUGGUAUGGUUUGUCAUGUUUAUCAAAUACUGCGUGAUGUUCUUGCUGUUA
Molecule: long non-coding RNA, 473 nt
Organism: Solanum tuberosum (potato)
Lineage: Eukaryota; Viridiplantae; Streptophyta; Magnoliopsida; Solanales; Solanaceae
Exons: 2
Source: RefSeq, a predicted model, not a curated record